Molecule: long non-coding RNA, 257 nt
Filed under: Sorghum bicolor (sorghum)
Lineage: Eukaryota; Viridiplantae; Streptophyta; Magnoliopsida; Poales; Poaceae
Description: long non-coding RNA (SBIC_LNC000896)
Source: RNAcentral
UAAGUAGUUAAGUUUAGCGAUGUUAGUGUGUGUCUGCUACUAGAUUAAAUUAGUUCACAGGAGUAAAGUUAAAGUCAUAGGAGUCUUUUCUCACUCGUCGUCCUCCCACCUGGCUAGAACUCUACCAUUUAUCUUUAGAUUAGGAUCUGUGUGAGAUCAGUUACCUAUCCUUACCUAUACUUGACCCUUUGAAGGACCUUGAGCUUAGUUAGUUCACUUCACAUUCCCCGUGGAAAAUAUGAUACCUGUAAUACUCC